AACCAGCACCCUCGAGUGGUCAGGAGGUUUAUUGGGCCUAAAGCAUCCGUAGCCGGUUGUUUAAGUUUUCGGUUAAAUCCAUGCGCUUAACGUAUGGGCUGCCGAAAAUACUGGACAGCUAGGGAGUGGGAGAGGUACACGGUACUCAAUAGGAAGGGGUAAAAUCCUUUGAUCUGUUGAUGACCACCUGUGGCGAAGGCGGUGUACCAGAACACGUUCGACGGUGAGGGAUGAAAGCUGGGGGAGCAAACCGGAUUAGAACGUACCC
Molecule: ribosomal RNA, 268 nt
Filed under: uncultured bacterium
Lineage: Bacteria
Description: partial 16S ribosomal RNA
Rfam family: Archaeal small subunit ribosomal RNA
Source: RNAcentral